GACUGCGCGCAGUCAUGGGCCAAGCAACCCAAAGGCGAAGAUAACACAACUGCACAGUUGCGGGAUUACGGGCACACCACGGUCACUCCGGUGGCCGGCUAGCCGUGUGCCCCUCCAUCCCCGGGUGUUGCACCAACGGACCCUCCGGGGGCCGGCAACAUACCGCGAGCGCGCAGGAUGUGACCCGAAAGAUGAUGAACUAUGCCUGAUCAGGUUGAAGUCAGGGGAAACCCUGAUGGAGGACCGAAGCAAUUCUGACGUGCAAAUCGAUUGUCAGAGUUGGGCAUAGGGGCGAAAGACCAAUCGAAUCAUCUAGUAGCUGUUUCCUUCCGAAAA
RNAcentral lists this ribosomal RNA (336 nucleotides) under Anopheles aitkenii. RNAcentral's name for it is "eukaryotic LSU rRNA". It matches the Rfam family "Eukaryotic large subunit ribosomal RNA", at positions 678 to 967 of the family's 3401-position model. The record is from RNAcentral. Lineage: Eukaryota; Metazoa; Arthropoda; Insecta; Diptera; Culicidae.